GAGCUGUGACGAAACUGUGUCUGUGAUGGAUAGGUCUAUCACACUCCUAUGAUCUUAUCAGACGAACUAUGAUACUCCAGAGCUC
Molecule: non-coding RNA, 85 nt
Organism: Vigna angularis (adzuki bean)
Lineage: Eukaryota; Viridiplantae; Streptophyta; Magnoliopsida; Fabales; Fabaceae
Source: Rfam